AUCUUUGCGAGUCUUAGUCGGCAGCGCUUGGCAACCUGGCGGUCCAGCGGCGAACGGGUGAGUAAUGCAUCGGUAACAUGUCCAUGUCGUGGGGGAUAGCCCGGCGAAAGCCGGAUUAAUACCGCAUACGCCCGAGAGGGGAAAGUGGGGGACCGCAAGGCCUCACGCGAUUGGGUUGGCCGAUGUCCGAUUAGCUAGUUGGCGGGGUAAAGGCCCACCAAGGCGAUGAUCGGUAGCUGGUCUGAGAGGAUGAUCAGCCACACUGGGACUGAGACACGGCCCAGACUCCUACGGGAGGCAGCAGUGGGGAAUUUUGGACAAUGGGGGCAACCCUGAUCCAGCCAUUCCGCGUGAGUGAAGAAGGCCUUCGGGUUGUAAAGCUCUUUUGUCCGGAACGAAACGGUGGACGUGAAUAUCGUCCAUUACUGACGGUACCGGAAGAAUAAGCACCGGCUAACUACGUGCCAGCAGCCGCGGUAAUACGUAGGGUGCGAGCGUUAAUCGGAAUUACUGGGCGUAAAGCGUGCGCAGGCGGUUUUGUAAGCCAAAUGUGAAAUCCCCGGGCUUAACCUGGGGAAUGGCAUUUUGGGACUGCAAGGCUCGAGUGCGGCAAAAGAAACUGGGAAUUCCCCGGUGUUACCAAUGAAAUGC
RNAcentral lists this ribosomal RNA (651 nucleotides) under uncultured bacterium. Its description in RNAcentral is "bacterial SSU rRNA". It matches the Rfam family "Bacterial small subunit ribosomal RNA", at positions 51 to 689 of the family's 1533-position model. The record is from RNAcentral.